CGGAGGGUCCAAGCGUUAUCCGGAAUCAUUGGGUUUAAAGGGUCCGUAGGCGGUUUUGUAAGUCAGUGGUGAAAGCCCAUCGCUCAACGGUGGAACGGCCAUUGAUACUGCAAGACUUGAAUUAUUAGGAAGUAACUAGAUUAUGUAGUGUAGCGGUGAAAUGCUUAGAGAUUACAUGGAAUACCAAUUGCGAAGGCAGGUUACUACUAAUGGAUUGACGCUGAUGGACGAAAGCGUGGGGAGCGAACAGGAUUAGAUACCCUGGUAGUCCACGCCGUAAACGAUGGAUACUAGCUGUUCGGAGCAAUCUGAGUGGCUAAGCGAAAGUGAUAAGUAUCCCACCUGGGGAGUACGUUCGCAAGAAUG
RNAcentral lists this ribosomal RNA (366 nucleotides) under uncultured organism. Its description in RNAcentral is "bacterial SSU rRNA". It matches the Rfam family "Bacterial small subunit ribosomal RNA", at positions 526 to 896 of the family's 1533-position model. The record is from RNAcentral.